GGGGAGAGGCCAGAUCCUGGGCUGUGUCCCCAGCGCCCUGUCCUCCUGGGCCUGCGCUGUUGGAUUCACGCUCCGGCCGGCCGGGCAGCCCCCU
RNAcentral lists this microRNA precursor (94 nucleotides) under Canis lupus familiaris (dog). RNAcentral describes it as "mir-8799 microRNA precursor family". It matches the Rfam family "mir-8799 microRNA precursor family". RNAcentral also lists the same sequence under 1 other name. The record is from Rfam by way of RNAcentral. Lineage: Eukaryota; Metazoa; Chordata; Mammalia; Carnivora; Canidae.